This 465-nucleotide ribosomal RNA is filed under the name uncultured bacterium. RNAcentral describes it as "partial 16S ribosomal RNA". It matches the Rfam family "Bacterial small subunit ribosomal RNA", at positions 28 to 507 of the family's 1533-position model. The record is from RNAcentral.
GACGAACGCUGGCGGCGUGCUUAACACAUGCAAGUCGAACGGACAGGCCCCUUUGGGGGUACUCGAGUGGCGAACGGGUGAGUAACACGUGAGUAACCUGCCCUUGCCUUCGGGAUAACUUCAGGAAACUGGGGCUAAUACCGGUUAGGAAUCCUUGCUGCAUGGUGGGGGUUGGAAAGCUUCGGCGGUUUUGGAUGGACUCGCGGCUUAUCAGCUUGUUGGUGGGGUAGUGGCUUACCAAGGCUUUGACGGGUAGCCGGCCUGAGAGGGCGACCGGCCACAUUGGGACUGAGGUACGGCCCAGACUCCGACGGGAGGCAGCAGUGGGGAAGAUUGCACAAUGGGCGGAGGCCGGAUGCAGCAGCGCCGCGGGCGGGAUGACGGCCUUCGGGUUGUAAACCGCUUGCAGCAGGGGCGAAGCUUGUGGUGACGGUACCUGAAGAAGAAGCACCGGCUAACUACGUG